GGAUCAUUGUCGAAAUCGAACGGAAGAACGACCCGCGAAUCGUCAUUGCGUACUAGACAGAGCCCGUGAGCACCUAACGCUCACGGGUCUCGCGUCGCGUCGGCGCGGGUGUACUCGAGACCCGCGUCGUACCGGCGGACAAACAACGUCAGCACGGAUCGUGCCAAGGAGCUGCAUGGAGAGAAUCGUCGUCCCACGCCUUUGAUAGUCCUCGACGCGGGACGGGGGACGUACGCAAUCUCUACUCAAGUCUAAACGACUCUCGGCAACGGAUAUCUCGGCUCUUGCAUCGAUGAAGAACGUAGCGAAAUGCGAUACUUGGUGUGAAUUGCAGAAUCCCGUGAACCAUCAAUUCUUUGAACGCAAGUUGCGCCCGAAGCCAUUCGGCCGAGGGCACGCCUGCCUGGGCGUCGUGAAUCCCCUUGCCCCGAGGCACCCGCAUGAGCAUUGGCGGGGAUAUAUGCCCGGGCGCAGAAUAUGGUCUCCCGUGGGAUCGGCAUGCACGGCAUGUCGAGGUGCGGUUGGCCGAAAAUCGAGCAUGGCGGUGACGGGCACCACGGCGUUCGGUGGAUCGAACGGGAUUGGCUGCGUCGUGGGCUCGGCAUGCGGCGGGCUCCGGACUUUGAAUAUCCCCGAGUGCGAUCCCAGGUCAGGCGGGGCUACCCGCUGAGUUUAAGCAUAUCAAUAAGCGGAGGAAAAGAAACUAACGAGGAUUCCCUUAGUAGCGGC
RNAcentral lists this ribosomal RNA (729 nucleotides) under Miconia allenii. RNAcentral describes it as "eukaryotic LSU rRNA". The stretch from base 258 to 413 matches the Rfam family "5.8S ribosomal RNA". The record is from RNAcentral. Lineage: Eukaryota; Viridiplantae; Streptophyta; Magnoliopsida; Myrtales; Melastomataceae.